UGCGUAGGUGGUUACCUAAGCGCAAGGUUUAAAUUAGAGGCUCAACCUCUACAUGCCUUGCGAACUGGGCUACUUGAGUGCAGGAGGGGAAAGCGGAAUUCCUAGUGUAGCGGUGAAAUGCGUAGAUAUUAGGAGGAACAUCAGCGGCGAAGGCGGCUUUCUGGACUGCAACUGACACUGAGGUACGAAAGCGUGGGGAGCAAACA
Molecule: ribosomal RNA, 206 nt
Filed under: uncultured bacterium
Lineage: Bacteria
Description: partial 16S ribosomal RNA
Rfam family: Bacterial small subunit ribosomal RNA
Source: RNAcentral